CCGGCAACACCAGCCUCAUCCCCAAUCCACCUUGUGUCAGGACCAGCAUCAGAAAAUAUUACAGCACCAGGCUGUAGUUGAUGGAUGAGACUAAACCAAGUAUCAAAAAAAUACUCCAUGUCCUUCUCUCCCUCCCCUUUUGCACCAUCCAACCAUACCUCUUUGAUCUCUCCAUACCUGGUCAACAACUCAGUCAUUUGGCCCAUGUAGAACUCAUUAUAUUCCAGAGUUUUCCCAUAAAACACCUCAUGCCUAUCCCAUGGUGAAAGAUAAAGCCCUAAAUCCACCCCAGCCUCUUUGGCAGACAAAGCCAGCUCCUUAACAACAUCACCAGCUCCAUUCCUCCAAGAACUUGACUUCACAGAGUAAUCUGUAUAUUCGCUAGGCCAUAAACAG
RNAcentral lists this unclassified non-coding RNA (396 nucleotides) under Hevea brasiliensis (rubber tree). The record is from RNAcentral. Lineage: Eukaryota; Viridiplantae; Streptophyta; Magnoliopsida; Malpighiales; Euphorbiaceae.